This 2704-nucleotide ribosomal RNA is filed under the name Staphylococcus aureus. RNAcentral describes it as "partial 23S ribosomal RNA". It matches the Rfam family "Bacterial large subunit ribosomal RNA". The record is from RNAcentral. Lineage: Bacteria; Bacillati; Bacillota; Bacilli; Caryophanales; Staphylococcaceae.
UAAGGGCGCACGGUGGAUGCCUUGGCACUAGAAGCCGAUGAAGGACGUUACUAACGACGAUAUGCUUUGGGGAGCUGUAAGUAAGCUUUGAUCCAGAGAUUUCCGAAUGGGGAAACCCAGCAUGAGUUAUGUCAUGUUAUCGAUAUGUGAAUACAUAGCAUAUCAGAAGGCACACCCGGAGAACUGAAACAUCUUAGUACCCGGAGGAAGAGAAAGAAAAUUCGAUUCCCUUAGUAGCGGCGAGCGAAACGGGAAGAGCCCAAACCAACAAGCUUGCUUGUUGGGGUUGUAGGACACUCUAUACGGAGUUACAAAGGACGACAUUAGACGAAUCAUCUGGAAAGAUGAAUCAAAGAAGGUAAUAAUCCUGUAGUCGAAAAUGUUGUCUCUCUUGAGUGGAUCCUGAGUACGACGGAGCACGUGAAAUUCCGUCGGAAUCUGGGAGGACCAUCUCCUAAGGCUAAAUACUCUCUAGUGACCGAUAGUGAACCAGUACCGUGAGGGAAAGGUGAAAAGCACCCCGGAAGGGGAGUGAAAUAGAACCUGAAACCGUGUGCUUACAAGUAGUCAGAGCCCGUUAAUGGGUGAUGGCGUGCCUUUUGUAGAAUGAACCGGCGAGUUACGAUUUGAUGCAAGGUUAAGCAGUAAAUGUGGAGCCGUAGCGAAAGCGAGUCUGAAUAGGGCGUUUAGUAUUUGGUCGUAGACCCGAAACCAGGUGAUCUACCCUUGGUCAGGUUGAAGUUCAGGUAACACUGAAUGGAGGACCGAACCGACUUACGUUGAAAAGUGAGCGGAUGAACUGAGGGUAGCGGAGAAAUUCCAAUCGAACCUGGAGAUAGCUGGUUCUCUCCGAAAUAGCUUUAGGGCUAGCCUCAAGUGAUGAUUAUUGGAGGUAGAGCACUGUUUGGACGAGGGGCCCCUCUCGGGUUACCGAAUUCAGACAAACUCCGAAUGCCAAUUAAUUUAACUUGGGAGUCAGAACAUGGGUGAUAAGGUCCGUGUUCGAAAGGGAAACAGCCCAGACCACCAGCUAAGGUCCCAAAAUAUAUGUUAAGUGGAAAAGGAUGUGGCGUUGCCCAGACAACUAGGAUGUUGGCUUAGAAGCAGCCAUCAUUUAAAGAGUGCGUAAUAGCUCACUAGUCGAGUGACACUGCGCCGAAAAUGUACCGGGGCUAAACAUAUUACCGAAGCUGUGGAUUGUCCUUUGGACAAUGGUAGGAGAGCGUUCUAAGGGCGUUGAAGCAUGAUCGUAAGGACAUGUGGAGCGCUUAGAAGUGAGAAUGCCGGUGUGAGUAGCGAAAGACGGGUGAGAAUCCCGUCCACCGAUUGACUAAGGUUUCCAGAGGAAGGCUCGUCCGCUCUGGGUUAGUCGGGUCCUAAGCUGAGGCCGACAGGCGUAGGCGAUGGAUAACAGGUUGAUAUUCCUGUACCACCUAUAAUCGUUUUAAUCGAUGGGGGGACGCAGUAGGAUAGGCGAAGCGUGCGAUUGGAUUGCACGUCUAAGCAGUAAGGCUGAGUAUUAGGCAAAUCCGGUACUCGUUAAGGCUGAGCUGUGAUGGGGAGAAGACAUUGAGUCUUCGAGUCGUUGAUUUCACACUGCCGAGAAAAGCCUCUAGAUAGAAAAUAGGUGCCCGUACCGCAAACCGACACAGGUAGUCAAGAUGAGAAUUCUAAGGUGAGCGAGCGAACUCUCGUUAAGGAACUCGGCAAAAUGACCCCGUAACUUCGGGAGAAGGGGUGCUCUUUAGGGUUAACGCCCAGAAGAGCCGCAGUGAAUAGGCCCAAGCGACUGUUUAUCAAAAACACAGGUCUCUGCUAAACCGUAAGGUGAUGUAUAGGGGCUGACGCCUGCCCGGUGCUGGAAGGUUAAGAGGAGUGGUUAGCUUCUGCGAAGCUACGAAUCGAAGCCCCAGUAAACGGCGGCCGUAACUAUAACGGUCCUAAGGUAGCGAAAUUCCUUGUCGGGUAAGUUCCGACCCGCACGAAAGGCGUAACGAUUUGGGCACUGUCUCAACGAGAGACUCGGUGAAAUCAUAGUACCUGUGAAGAUGCAGGUUACCCGCGACAGGACGGAAAGACCCCGUGGAGCUUUACUGUAGCCUGAUAUUGAAAUUCGGCACAGCUUGUACAGGAUAGGUAGGAGCCUUUGAAACGUGAGCGCUAGCUUACGUGGAGGCGCUGGUGGGAUACUACCCUAGCUGUGUUGGCUUUCUAACCCGCACCACUUAUCGUGGUGGGAGACAGUGUCAGGCGGGCAGUUUGACUGGGGCGGUCGCCUCCUAAAAGGUAACGGAGGCGCUCAAAGGUUCCCUCAGAAUGGUUGGAAAUCAUUCAUAGAGUGUAAAGGCAUAAGGGAGCUUGACUGCGAGACCUACAAGUCGAGCAGGGUCGAAAGACGGACUUAGUGAUCCGGUGGUUCCGCAUGGAAGGGCCAUCGCUCAACGGAUAAAAGCUACCCCGGGGAUAACAGGCUUAUCUCCCCCAAGAGUUCACAUCGACGGGGAGGUUUGGCACCUCGAUGUCGGCUCAUCGCAUCCUGGGGCUGUAGUCGGUCCCAAGGGUUGGGCUGUUCGCCCAUUAAAGCGGUACGCGAGCUGGGUUCAGAACGUCGUGAGACAGUUCGGUCCCUAUCCGUCGUGGGCGUAGGAAAUUUGAGAGGAGCUGUCCUUAGUACGAGAGGACCGGGAUGGACAUACCUCUGGUG